UACGUAGGGUGCAAGCGUUAAUCGGAAUUACUGGGCGUAAAGCGUGCGCAGGCGGUUAUGUAAGACAGGUGUGAAAUCCCCGGGCUUAACCUUGGAACUGCAUUUGUGACUGCAUAGCUAGAGUACGGUAGAGGGGGAUGGAAUUCCGCGUGUAGCAGUGAAAUGCGUAGAUAUGCGGAGGAACACCGAUGGCGAAGGCAAUCCCCCGGACCUGUACUGACGCUCAUGCACGAAAGCGUGGGGAGCAAACAGG
RNAcentral lists this ribosomal RNA (253 nucleotides) under uncultured bacterium. RNAcentral's name for it is "partial 16S ribosomal RNA". It matches the Rfam family "Bacterial small subunit ribosomal RNA", at positions 524 to 776 of the family's 1533-position model. The record is from RNAcentral.